RNAcentral lists this ribosomal RNA (429 nucleotides) under Jesogammarus naritai. RNAcentral's name for it is "partial 16S ribosomal RNA". Lineage: Eukaryota; Metazoa; Arthropoda; Malacostraca; Amphipoda; Anisogammaridae. The record is from RNAcentral.
UGUGCUAAGGUAGCAUAAUCAUUUGGUUUUUAAUAGAGGUCUGGAAUGAAAGGUCAAACAAAUAUUAUUUUCUUUUUUAUAAUGAGUGAAUUUAAGAUUUAAGUAAAAACGCUUAAAAAAUUUGUGGGACGAUAAGACCCUAAAAGCUUUAUUUUCUAAUCUAAGAUAUUUUUAAUAGUUAGAACUGUAGAUAAUUGGUUGGGGUAAUAACUCUAAAUAAAUUAGGGUGGUUUGAAUAAGGAUAAUUAGAUUUAGAUCCUUAAUAUCAGGAUAAUAGGUGUAGUUACUUUAGGGGUAACAGGGUAAUUAUUUUACGGAGUUCUUAUCUGCAGAAUAGGUUGCUACCUCGAUGUUGAAUUAAAAUUUCUACAUAAUGCAAAAGGUAUGUAAGAGGGUUUGUUCAACCUUUAAUUUUUUACAUGAUCUGAG